CGUGUAGGCGGUUUCUUAAGUCUGAUGUGAAAGCCCCGGGCUCAACCCGGGAAGUGCAUUGGAUACUGGGAGACUUGAAUACGGGAGAGGGUAGUGGAAUUCCUAGUGUAGGAGUGAAAUCCGUAGAUAUUAGGAGGAACACCGGUGGCGAAGGCGGCUACCUGGACCGAUAUUGACGCUGAGACGCGAAAGCGUGGGGAGCAAACAGGAUUAGAUACCCUGGUAGUCCACGCCGUAAACGAUGAGAACUAGGUGUUGCGGGUAUUGACCCCUGCAGUGCCGCAGCUAACGCAUUAAGUUCUCCGCCUGGGAAGUACGGUCGCAAGACUAAAA
RNAcentral lists this ribosomal RNA (333 nucleotides) under uncultured bacterium. RNAcentral's name for it is "bacterial SSU rRNA". It matches the Rfam family "Bacterial small subunit ribosomal RNA", at positions 568 to 899 of the family's 1533-position model. The record is from RNAcentral.